GAUGAACGCUGGCGGCGUGCCUAAUACAUGCAAGUCGAGCGAACAGAUGAGGAGCUUGCUCCUCUGACGUUAGCGGCGGACGGGUGAGUAACACGUGGAUAACCUACCUAUAAGACUGGGAUAACUUCGGGAAACCGGAGCUAAUACCGGAUAAUAUAUUGAACCGCAUGGUUCAAUAGUGAAAGACGGUUUUGCUGUCACUUAUAGAUGGAUCCGCGCCGCAUUAGCUAGUUGGUAAGGUAACGGCUUACCAAGGCAACGAUGCGUAGCCGACGUGAGAGGGUGAUCGGCCACACGGGAGGUGAGACACGGUCCAGACUCCUACGGGAGGCAGCAGUAGGGAAUCUUCCGCAAUGGGCGAAAGCCUGGCGGAGCAACGCCGCGUGAGUGAUGAAGGUCUUCGGAUCGUAAAACUCUGUUAUUAGGGAAGAACAAAUGUGUAAGUAACUAUGCACGUCUUGACGGUACCUAAUCAGAAAGCCACGGCUAACUACGUG
This 497-nucleotide ribosomal RNA is filed under the name uncultured bacterium. RNAcentral's name for it is "partial 16S ribosomal RNA". It matches the Rfam family "Bacterial small subunit ribosomal RNA", at positions 28 to 507 of the family's 1533-position model. The record is from RNAcentral.